GACGUAGGGUCCAAGCGUUGUCCGGAUUUACUGGGCGUAAAGAGCGCGUAGGCGGUCCGUUAAGUGUAGAGUGAAAUCUCUGGGCUCACCCCAGAAACUGCUCUGCAUACUGGCGGACUAGAGGGAUGCAGAGGUUUGUGGAAUUCCUGGUGUAGCGGUGAAAUGCGUUGAUAUCAGGAGGAACACCCAUGGCGAAGGCAGCAAACUGGGCAUCAUCUGACGCUGAGGCGCGAAAGCGUGGGUAGCAAACAGG
RNAcentral lists this ribosomal RNA (253 nucleotides) under uncultured prokaryote. RNAcentral's name for it is "partial 16S ribosomal RNA". It matches the Rfam family "Bacterial small subunit ribosomal RNA", at positions 524 to 776 of the family's 1533-position model. The record is from RNAcentral.